GCUGGGCGUGGUGGCGCAUGCCUGUAGACCCAGCUACUUCGGAAGCUGAGGCAGGAGAAUUGCUUGAACUCAGGAGGCAGAGGUUGCAGUGAGCUGAGACCGUGCCACUGCAUUCCAGCCUGGGUGACAGAGCAAGAUUCUGUCUCUC
RNAcentral lists this small RNA (148 nucleotides) under Macaca mulatta (Rhesus monkey). RNAcentral's name for it is "Metazoan signal recognition particle RNA (ENSMMUG00000064675.1)". It matches the Rfam family "Metazoan signal recognition particle RNA". From Rfam's summary of the family: The signal recognition particle (SRP) is a universally conserved ribonucleoprotein. It is involved in the co-translational targeting of proteins to membranes. The eukaryotic SRP consists of a 300-nucleotide 7S RNA and six proteins: SRPs 72, 68, 54, 19, 14, and 9. Lineage: Eukaryota; Metazoa; Chordata; Mammalia; Primates; Cercopithecidae. The record is from Rfam by way of RNAcentral.